GAUUAACGCUGGCGGCGUGCCUAACACAUGCAAGUCGAACGAGGUAGCAAUACCUAGUGGCAGACGGGUGAGUAACGCGUGGUCAACCUACCGUUGAGUGGGGGAUAACUAGCCGAAAGGUUAGCUAAUACCGCAUACGUCUCCGAGUGGCAUCACUUGGCGAUAAAAGGAGCAAUCCGCUCGAUGACGGGACCGCGUCCCAUUAGCUAGAUGGUGGGGUAACGGCCUACCAUGGCACCGAUGGGUAGCUGGUUUGAGAGAGCGACCAGCCACACUGGGACUGAGAAACGGCCCAGACUCCUACGGGAGGCAGCAGUGAGGAAUUUUCCGCAAUGGGCGCAAGCCUGACGGAGCGACGCCGCGUGUGGGAAGAAGGCC
RNAcentral lists this ribosomal RNA (378 nucleotides) under uncultured bacterium. RNAcentral's name for it is "bacterial SSU rRNA". It matches the Rfam family "Bacterial small subunit ribosomal RNA", at positions 28 to 416 of the family's 1533-position model. The record is from RNAcentral.